UGAACUGCGGAASSAUCAUUGUCGAAACCUGCAAGGCAGACCGCGAACACGUGUUUAACCGAGUCGGCCGUGGCGUGGGGGCGCGUCCCCCCCGCCGCGGCCGCGGCUCCCCGCCGGUGCUUGCGCUGUGCGGGCUAACGAACCCCGGCGCGGAACGCGCCAAGGAAAACUAAAACGAAGCGCCCUCCCUCGUCCCGUGCCCCGUCUGCGGUGUGCACGAACGGGGGGAAGGUCGCGCCUCACUUAUGUCAAAACGACUCUCGGCAACGGAUAUCUCGGCUCUCGCAUCGAUGAAGAACGUAGCGAAAUGCGAUACUUGGUGUGAAUUGCAGAAUCCCGUGAACCAUCGAGUUUUUGAACGCAAGUUGCGCCCGAAGCCUUCGGGCCGAGGGCACGCCUGCCUGGGCGUCACGCAUCGUGUCACCCCCCUCCCCCUCUCCGGAGCGGGCGGGGCGGGGGUGGAGAAUGGCCUCCCGUGCGCCCCGUCGCGCGGCCGGCCCAAAUGCGAUCCCCCGGCGACGCCAGUCGCGACCAGUGGUGGUUGAAUCCUCAACUCGCGUGCUGUCAGUCGUGCAGAACGGCGUCGUCCGGACGGGCAUCACCAACGACCCAAUCGGCGCCUCGGCGCUUCCGACCGCGACCCCAGGUCAGGCGGGAUUACCCG
RNAcentral lists this ribosomal RNA (664 nucleotides) under Razisea spicata. Its description in RNAcentral is "eukaryotic LSU rRNA". The stretch from base 256 to 411 matches the Rfam family "5.8S ribosomal RNA". The record is from RNAcentral. Lineage: Eukaryota; Viridiplantae; Streptophyta; Magnoliopsida; Lamiales; Acanthaceae.